UGGGGAAUAUUGCACAAUGGGGGAAACCCUGAUGCAGCGACGCCGCGUGAACGAAGAAGGUAUUCGUAUCGUAAAGUUCUGUCCUAUGGGAAGAUAAUGACAGUACCAUAGAAGAAAGCUCCGGCUAAAUACGUGCCAGCAGCCGCGGUAAUACGUAUGGAGCGAGCGUUGUCCGGAAUUAUUGGGCGUAAAGGGUACGCAGGCGGUUUAAUAAGUCGAAUGUUAAAGAUCGGGGCUCAACCCCGUAAAGCAUUGGAAACUGAUAAACUUGAGUAGUGGAGAGGAAAGUGGAAUUCCUAGUGUAGUGGUGAAAUACGUAGAUAUUAGGAAGAAUACCAGUAGCGAAGGCGACUUUCUGGACACAAACUGACGCUGAGGUACGAAAGCGUGGGGAGCAAACAGG
This 403-nucleotide ribosomal RNA is filed under the name bacterium. Its description in RNAcentral is "partial 16S ribosomal RNA". It matches the Rfam family "Bacterial small subunit ribosomal RNA", at positions 355 to 776 of the family's 1533-position model. RNAcentral also lists the same sequence under 1 other name. The record is from RNAcentral.